RNAcentral lists this long non-coding RNA (460 nucleotides) under Homo sapiens (human). RNAcentral describes it as "HSALNT0285439". Lineage: Eukaryota; Metazoa; Chordata; Mammalia; Primates; Hominidae. The record is from RNAcentral.
UGUGGCCAAAAGAGAUUAACAUUUGAGUCAGUGUGCUAAGGAAGGCAGAUCCACCCUUAAUCUUGCGGGCACAAUCUAAUCCGCUGCCAGUGAAUAUGAAGCAGGCAGAAAAACGUGAAAAGGAGAGACUGGCCUAGGCUCCCAGCCUACAUCUUUCUCCCGUGCUGGAUCCUUCCUGCCCUCGAACAUCGGACUCGAAGUUCUUCAGUUUUGGGACUUGGACUGGCUCUCCUUGCUCCUCAGCUUGCAGACAGCCUACUAUGGGACCUUGUGAUCAUAUGGUGUCCGGAAUUUCAAAUAAUACUGAGUUAUGGGAAUUGCCACAGUUGAGAUGAAAUGAAGCCUGGUUUCCCAUUCAAAAGGAAAACCAGAGAGCAGAGGAAUUCAUGCAAUUUUUACCUCCUUCAAAUUUAGCUAAUAAUGAUUUUUUUAAACUAAUGGAUUGUUGAUGAUAAAGAGA